This 1250-nucleotide long non-coding RNA is filed under the name Danio rerio (zebrafish). RNAcentral describes it as "lncRNA si:ch211-142k18.1 (ENSDARG00000093899.4)". Lineage: Eukaryota; Metazoa; Chordata; Actinopteri; Cypriniformes; Danionidae. The record is from RNAcentral.
UCUCUCUUCCUCUCUCUCUCCCUCCUGACCACAAAAGAAAAUAAUCAUUGAGUUUCUCCUUUUUUUAUAAACACUCCCUCCCCUUCCAGUAGUCUCCAAAUAGGGGCACAGACUUUCAGGUUCUCAAACUUUGCUGGAAGAAGUGAAAAGAAGUUUAGGGCAGGCUGAUUAUGUGUGCUCCACUUCUCUGCCUCUGAAUGGCAAAGCAGAGAACAGAGCUGUGAACGUUUUGACCAGACACAUGGCUCUACCUUGUGACAUGCCAGAAGAUUCUGAUGAGCUCAGAGUUUUGCAACAGUGGUGAUUGUGUGGAAAAUCCUGUCCAGUUCCGCACGGCUAAAGAGAGACCUUAUAUUUAUCAUCGUUUUGGUUCUUCCUCUCCAUCACUCACUAAGAUCUGGUCAUUAUGAAGCUGUGCUGGACACUUUUCUCAUGGCUUCUCACACUGCUAGUGAUGCCAGUUUACAGUCAGAGCGGUGAUGAUGGAGAAGUGGGAUCCGGUGACAUUUCUGGGCCUUUGGUCAAUGGCAGUUCCUCAGCCUCAAUCCUCCAUGCGGUCGGUGACGAGCCAGACAAGAACAGGCCGCUUUUUCAGACUCUUCCAGAGACGGAGAGCGGCGACUGUUAUGUCAAUUUCCACACCAGCCAAGUGAUGUCACGGCGGUUACGAGCUUUUAGAGAGGAGGUUUCAUAUCUAAAGGCCAUCCAGCAUGGGAACCAGGCAGUGAUGGAGAAUCUGGUCCAAUUUGUAGGAGCAGAAAUGGGGGAUCAGCGAUACGAAGAGGUGAUCCAAGAGAACAUUGUCGGGAUCAGGGAGGAUCAUGGGAGCUGUGGGAGUGUGGUGACGAAAGCAGCAGAGGAGAUGGAGAAUCAGCUGGAAGGAGACGCUCAGGCCACUCUGGCUGGAAUUCAGAAAAUAAAAGAAGAGUCUCUUGCCUUUGAAGAACUGUUGCGUGCCGCCUCGGACAUCGCUACUCGACUGGAGAGCACAUCACGAGCCCUGCAUGUGGAGAUGAUGGAACAGCUGAAGAAGAACACCAGACAGCGCGCUGAGCUAAAUGAAGCCAUCCGAGCUGGAAAAAUACGAUAAAAGUGUUAAAUGGCAUGUCACAACCUCAUUUAUGCAUAUUGUUUUAAUAGCAAUGCUGUCACAUUAUAGAGUCCCAUACAUGGAUGUUUCUAAAUAAUGCCCAGCAGGCACAGGACAUAAACAUGAUGUCAGAUUGACGUUAUACCCCAAUGUCGUGGGG